AGCCAGCAGUGGAGUAAGAAGGAGAGGAAGAUAUAUAGAACAAUGAAAGGAAGAUCAACACAUUUGGAGAGCGAAAUUUAUUAAGGAAAUGAAAAGAAAUUAGCUGGGCUCACACCAGCCCCACCAGUCUUUGUUGGAAGUGAGCUGAAUGUCUUUCUCCAGUCCUCUAGACUGUUUUUGCAAAACCUCCAUAUUCCACACUUAUUUCCACAGUGGCUGCACGGGUUUGUGUCCUGCUUCCUCUGCUCUAUCCUAGAGGCUUCCAUUGACUACAACACCUCAUAGCUCACCUUGGAUUUUUAGACAGAAUGCUGGAGAAUAUUCACUCACGAGUGUCAAUGCCAAGAAUUCCAUGCAGGAACACUGAAACCCUCUUUAGA
Molecule: long non-coding RNA, 380 nt
Organism: Mesocricetus auratus (golden hamster)
Lineage: Eukaryota; Metazoa; Chordata; Mammalia; Rodentia; Cricetidae
Exons: 3
Source: RefSeq, a predicted model, not a curated record